ACUUUGCAAUGUGCGAAAGCACGACAAGGUUAAUCCGAGUGUUUCCUGCUAAAGGAAUCUUUUGUCAGUCGUAAAACCACUAACGAAUAAGGGGUGGGCAAGUUCUGGUGUCAGCCGCCGCGGUAAAACCAGCACCUCAAGUGGUCAGGAGGAUUAUUGGGCCUAAAGCAUCCGUAGCCUGCUUUGUUAGUUUUCGGUUAAAUCUAUAUGCUCAACAUAUGGGCUGCCGAGAAUACUGCAUAGCUAGGGAGUGGGAGAGGUAGACGGUACUCCGUAGGAAGGGGUAAAAUCCUUUGAUCUAUGGAUGACCACCUGUGGCGAAGGCGGUCUACCAGAACACGUCCGACGGUGAGGGAUGAAAGCUGGGGGAGCAAACCGGGAUUA
Molecule: ribosomal RNA, 384 nt
Filed under: uncultured crenarchaeote
Lineage: Archaea; Thermoproteati; Thermoproteota
Description: bacterial SSU rRNA
Rfam family: Archaeal small subunit ribosomal RNA
Source: RNAcentral